UAAUACGAAGGGGGCUAGCGUUGCUCGGAAUUACUGGGCGUAAAGGGCGCGUAGGCGGACAGUUAAGUCAGAGGUGAAAGCCCAGGGCUCAACCCUGGAAUAGCCUUUGAUACUGGCUGUCUUGAGUGCGGGAGAGGUGUGUGGAACUCCGAGUGUAGAGGUGAAAUUCGUAGAUAUUCGGAAGAACACCAGUGGCGAAGGCGACACACUGGCCCGUAACUGACGCUGAGGCGCGAAAGCGUGGGGAGCAAACAGGAUUAGAUACCCUGGUAGUCCACGCCGUAAACGAUGGAUGCUAGCCGUUGGCAGGCUUGCCUGUCAGUGGCGCAGCUAACGCAUUAAGCAUCCCGCCUGGGGAGUACGGUCGCAAGAUUA
This 375-nucleotide ribosomal RNA is filed under the name uncultured bacterium. RNAcentral's name for it is "bacterial SSU rRNA". It matches the Rfam family "Bacterial small subunit ribosomal RNA", at positions 521 to 896 of the family's 1533-position model. The record is from RNAcentral.